Molecule: ribosomal RNA, 245 nt
Filed under: uncultured bacterium
Lineage: Bacteria
Description: partial 16S ribosomal RNA
Rfam family: Bacterial small subunit ribosomal RNA
Source: RNAcentral
UACGUAGGGUGCGAGCGUUAAUCGGAAUUACUGGGCGUAAAGCGUGCGCAGGCGGUUUUGUAAGCCAGAUGUGAAAUCCCCGGGCUUAACCUGGGAAUGGCAUUUGGGACUGCAAGGCUGGAGUUUGGCAGAGGAGACUGGAAUUCCUGGUGUAGCAGUGAAAUGCGUAGAUAUCAGGAGGAAUACCGAUGGCGAAGGCAGGUCUCUGGGCUAUAACUGACGCUGCAUGACACGAAAGGCGUGGG